Molecule: transfer RNA, 75 nt
Filed under: Schizosaccharomyces cryophilus
Lineage: Eukaryota; Fungi; Ascomycota; Schizosaccharomycetes; Schizosaccharomycetales; Schizosaccharomycetaceae
Description: tRNA-Pro
Source: RNAcentral
CGGAUAAAAACAUGUAUAGGUUCAUGUGCUUGCUUUGGGUGUGAGAAUUUGUUAGUUCGAAUCUAACUUAUCCGA